Molecule: ribosomal RNA, 531 nt
Filed under: uncultured Paenibacillus sp.
Lineage: Bacteria; Bacillati; Bacillota; Bacilli; Caryophanales; Paenibacillaceae
Description: bacterial SSU rRNA
Rfam family: Bacterial small subunit ribosomal RNA
Source: RNAcentral
GUUUGAUCAUGGCCAGGACGAACGCUGGCGGCGUGCCUAAUACAUGCAAGUCGAGCGGAGUUGAUGAAGUGCUUGCACUUCUGAUACUUAGCGGCGGACGGGUGAGUAACACGUAGGUAACCUGCCCGUAAGACUGGGAUAACAUUCGGAAACGAAUGCUAAUACCGGAUACACAACUUGGUCGCAUGAUCGGAGUUGGGAAAGACGGAGCAAUCUGUCACUUACGGAUGGACCUGCGGCGCAUUAGCUAGUUGGUGAGGUAACGGCUCACCAAGGCGACGAUGCGUAGCCGACCUGAGAGGGUGAUCGGCCACACUGGGACUGAGACACGGCCCAGACUCCUACGGGAGGCAGCAGUAGGGAAUCUUCCGCAAUGGACGAAAGUCUGACGGAGCAACGCCGCGUGAGUGAUGAAGGUUUUCGGAUCGUAAAGCUCUGUUGCCAGGGAAGAACGCUAAGGAGAGUAACUGCUCCUUAGGUGACGGUACCUGAGAAGAAAGCCCCGGCGAACUACGUGCCAGCAGCGCGGUA